Molecule: ribosomal RNA, 253 nt
Filed under: uncultured bacterium
Lineage: Bacteria
Description: partial 16S ribosomal RNA
Rfam family: Bacterial small subunit ribosomal RNA
Source: RNAcentral
UACGUAGGUGGCAAGCGUUGUCCGGAAUUAUUGGGCGUAAAGCGCACGUAGGCGGCUUAGCAAGUCGGAAGUGAAAUCCCUCGGCUCAACCAAGGAAGUGCUUUCGAAACUGCUGAGCUUGAGUACUUAAGAGGAUCGCGGAAUUCCCGGUGUAGAGGUGAAAUUCGUAGAUAUCGGGAGGAACACCAGUGGCGAAGGCGGCGAUCUGGGAAGAUACUGACGCUGAGGUGCGAAAGCGUGGGGAGCAAACAGG